ACUCCUACGGGAGGCAGCAGUGGGGAAUAUUGCACAAUGGGGAAACCCUGAUGCAGCCAUGCCGCGUGUGUGAAGAAGGCCUCGGUUGUAAAGCACUUCAGUAGGGAGGAAGGUAGUGUAGUUAACACCUGCACUAUUUGACGUUACCUACAGAAGAAGCACCGGCUAACUCCGUGCCAGCAGCCGCGGUAAUACGGAGGGGUGCGAGCGUUAAUCGGAAUUACUGGGCGUAAAGCGCAUGCAGGCGGCCUGUUAAGUCAGAUGUGAAAGCCCGGGGGCUUAACCUCGGAAUUGCAUUUGAAACUGGCAGGCUAGAGUCUUGUAGAGGGGGUAGAAUUUCAGGUGUAGCGGUGAAAUGCGUAGAGAUCUGAAGGAAUACCAGUGGCGAA
This 389-nucleotide ribosomal RNA is filed under the name uncultured bacterium. RNAcentral describes it as "bacterial SSU rRNA". It matches the Rfam family "Bacterial small subunit ribosomal RNA", at positions 335 to 719 of the family's 1533-position model. The record is from RNAcentral.